This 598-nucleotide ribosomal RNA is filed under the name Daedalea confragosa. RNAcentral describes it as "partial 28S ribosomal RNA". It matches the Rfam family "Eukaryotic large subunit ribosomal RNA", at positions 66 to 648 of the family's 3401-position model. Lineage: Eukaryota; Fungi; Basidiomycota; Agaricomycetes; Polyporales; Fomitopsidaceae. The record is from RNAcentral.
UAACAAGGAUUCCCCUAGUAACUGCGAGUGAAGCGGGAAAAGCUCAAAUUUAAAAUCUGGCGGUCUUUGGCCGUCCGAGUUGUAGUCUGGAGAAGUGCUUUCCGCGCUGGACCGUGUAUAAGUCUCUUGGAACAGAGCGUCAUAGAGGGUGAGAAUCCCGUCUUUGACACGGACUACCAGUGCUUUGUGAUGCGCUCUCAAAGAGUCGAGUUGUUUGGGAAUGCAGCUCAAAAUGGGUGGUAAAUUCCAUCUAAAGCUAAAUAUUGGCGAGAGACCGAUAGCGAACAAGUACCGUGAGGGAAAGAUGAAAAGCACUUUGGAAAGAGAGUUAAACAGUACGUGAAAUUGCUGAAAGGGAAACACUUGAAGUCAGUCGCGUUGGCCGGAACUCAGCCUUGCUUUCGCUUGGUGCACUUUCCGGUUGACGGGCCAGCAUCGAUUUCGACCGGCGGAAAAGGGUUGGAGAAAUGUGGCACCCUCGGGUGUGUUAUAGUCUCUAGUCGCAUACGUCGGUCGGGAUCGAGGAUCGCAGCGCGCCGCAAGGCAGGGGUUCGCCCACUUUCGCGCUUAGGAUGCUGGCAUAAUGGCUUUAAAUGAC